This 419-nucleotide ribosomal RNA is filed under the name Chloroflexota bacterium. RNAcentral's name for it is "Chloroflexi bacterium partial 16S ribosomal RNA". It matches the Rfam family "Bacterial small subunit ribosomal RNA", at positions 355 to 776 of the family's 1533-position model. Lineage: Bacteria; Bacillati; Chloroflexota. The record is from RNAcentral.
UGGGGGAUAUUGCACAAUGGGCGAAAGCCUGAUGCAGCGACGCCGCGUGGGGGAUGAAGGCCUUCGGGUUGUAAACUUCUUUUGCUCUGAACAAGGCGCACCAUGGGGUGUGUUGAGUGUAGGGGUUGAUUAGCGCCGGCUAACUACGUGCCAGCAGCCGCGGUAAUACGUAGGGCGCGAGCGUUGUCCGGAAUUAUUGGGCGUAAAGGGCUUGUAGGUGGCUGGUUGCGUCUGUCGUGAAAGCUCAUGGCUUAACUGUGGGUUUGCGGUGGGUACGGGCUGGCUUGAGUGCAGUAGGGGAGGCUGGAAUUCCUGGUGUAGCGGUGGAAUGCGCAGAUAUCAGGAGGAAUACCGGUGGCGAAGGCGGGUCUCUGGACAAAGACUGACGCUCAGGUGCGAAAGCGUGGGGAGCAAACAGG